Molecule: long non-coding RNA, 679 nt
Filed under: Bos indicus x Bos taurus (hybrid cattle)
Lineage: Eukaryota; Metazoa; Chordata; Mammalia; Artiodactyla; Bovidae
Description: lncRNA (ENSBIXG00005009004.1)
Source: RNAcentral
CAGAAUUCCCUGUUAGUUGGAGGAGGGGCACUUUUGUUCUGGGUAAGCCUUCACUUGAUUGGAUGAGGCCCACCCCCAUUAUGGAGUGUAAUCUGCUUCACUCAGAUUUAAAUAUUAAUUUAAAUUUAAUUAUUAAUCUCAUUCAAAAAGAUGCCAUCACAGCUGCACCCAGGAUAGUAUUGAACCAAACAUCUGAUCCAGCCGAGCCAACGCACACAAUUAACCACCAGAUUCAGGAAGCCGGGAGAGGCCGGCCGGGAAUGGGGAUGCUUUCUGCGCACAGGUCCCAGAUGUACUGUGACGUCCUGCUUCUCCCAAUCUUGCUCAGACUCUUCCCUCGAUCUGCAAUUCUCUUCUUUUUUUUGCCCAUCAUAAUCCUAUUCAUUCUUGGAGCAUGAAUCCAGUCUCCUCCAGGAAGCCCACUGUGAAUGCCCCAGCUGGACUGUUUCUCUGAGCCCCAGUGACACCCUGGAUGUGCUGUGCUUUGAUUGUGUCCUCGCCUGUGAGCUCUGGAGGUGGGGCUGCGCCUGGUCCUACGUUCCCAUCCCAGGGCCUGACAUGUCACAGGCGCUCCACUGCUGAUGGAGAGAGGGGACGGCCACCCCACCCCACGCAGGAGGACAGGAGGCCCACCCUCUCCCUCUGAGGAGCCGCUCCCACAGGUGAAAAGAGCCUGGAG